CUGGCUAACAGAGAGAAGAAAUCCCUUCUAUCAAUGACAAACAGCUCGCAGUCCGAAUUUGCAAUGGCAUCGGCAGUUCUGGCAAGACCAUCGAGAACCGCAAUCUCGCCGAACAUCUCUCCCGCNNNNNNNCCAUAUUGAAAAUAGCGCCCCGGCCAUCGGCGGACGAGACGCCGAUCUUCACCGUGCCGCUGAUAAUGAAGAACAGGCUUUGGCCCGGAUCCCCUUUGGCGAAAAUCGU
Molecule: unclassified non-coding RNA, 241 nt
Filed under: Hevea brasiliensis (rubber tree)
Lineage: Eukaryota; Viridiplantae; Streptophyta; Magnoliopsida; Malpighiales; Euphorbiaceae
Source: RNAcentral